This 500-nucleotide ribosomal RNA is filed under the name uncultured Glomeromycotina. Its description in RNAcentral is "partial small subunit ribosomal RNA". It matches the Rfam family "Eukaryotic small subunit ribosomal RNA", at positions 591 to 1092 of the family's 1831-position model. The record is from RNAcentral. Lineage: Eukaryota; Fungi; Glomeromycota.
CCAAUAGCGUAUAUUAAAGUUGUUGCAGUUAAAAAGCUCGUAGUUGGAUUUCGGGAUCAAUAUGUCGGUCGUGCCUUCGGUACGUACUGGCAUCAUUGAUUUCUCCCUUUUGACGAACCACGAUGUCAUUAAUUUGGUGUCAUGGGGAGUCAGGACUGUUACUUUGAAAAAAUUAGAGUGUUUAAAGCAGGCUCACGCUUGAAUACAUUAGCAUGGAAUAAUGAAAUAGGACGUUUGACCCUAUUUUGUUGGUUUCUAGGAUCAACGUAAUGAUUAAUAGUGAUAGUUGGGGGCAUUAGUAUUAAAUUGUCAGAGGUGAAAUUCUUGGAUUUAUUGAAGACUAACUACUGCGAAAGCAUUUGCCAAGGAUGUUUUCAUUAAUCAAGAAAGAAAGUUAGGAGAUCGAAGACGAUCAGAUACCGUCGUAGUCUUAACCAUAAACUAUGCCGACUAGGGAUCGGAUGAUGUUAAUUUUUUAAUGACUCAUUCGGCGCCUUACG